GCCGUUUGUAAUUCGGGCGGGGUUCGAACCUGCCGCAGGUCGAGUCGACCAGAGGGAGACAGCGUUGCCAAAGGCAACGACCCGAAGGGCGAGGCUUCAGCCGAGUCAUCCUGCACGACCCACCA
This 125-nucleotide small RNA is filed under the name Erwinia wuhanensis. Its description in RNAcentral is "RtT sRNA". It matches the Rfam family "RtT RNA". From Rfam's summary of the family: This family represents a bacterial cis-regulatory element known as RtT RNA. The record is from RNAcentral. RNAcentral also lists the same sequence under 1 other name. Lineage: Bacteria; Pseudomonadati; Pseudomonadota; Gammaproteobacteria; Enterobacterales; Erwiniaceae.